RNAcentral lists this ribosomal RNA (451 nucleotides) under uncultured bacterium. RNAcentral describes it as "bacterial SSU rRNA". It matches the Rfam family "Bacterial small subunit ribosomal RNA", at positions 29 to 524 of the family's 1533-position model. The record is from RNAcentral.
AACGAACGCUGGCGGCAUGCCUAACACAUGCAAGUCGAACGAGACCUUCGGGUCUAGUGGCGCACGGGUGCGUAACGCGUGGGAAUCUGCCCUUGGGUUCGGAAUAACAGCGAGAAAUUGCUGCUAAUACCGGAUGAUGACGUAAGUCCAAAGAUUUAUCGCCCAAGGAUGAGCCCGCGUAGGAUUAGCUAGUUGGUGAGGUAAGGGCUCACCAAGGCGACGAUCCUUAGCUGGUCUGAGAGGAUGAUCAGCCACACUGGGACUGAGACACGGCCCAGACUCCUACGGGAGGCAGCAGUGGGGAAUAUUGGACAAUGGGCGAAAGCCUGAUCCAGCAAUGCCGCGUGAGUGAUGAAGGCCUUAGGGUUGUAAAGCUCUUUUACCCGGGGAUGAUAAUGACAGUACCGGGAGAAUAAGCUCCGGCUAACUCCGUGCCAGCAGCCGCGGUAAU